AGCACCACAACGGGUGGAGCUUGCGGUUUAAUUGGAUUCAACGCCGGAAAUCUACCGGGACCGACAGCAAUAUGAAGGCCAGGCUGAAGACUUUGCCGGAUUAGCUGAGAGGUGGUGCAUGGCCGUCGUCAGUUCGUACUGUGAAGCAUCCUGUUAAGUCAGGCAACGAGCGAGACCCACGCCCACAGUUGCCAGCGUACUCUCCGGAGUGACGGGUACACUGUGGGACCGCCGCUGCUAAAGCGGAGGAAGGAAUGGGCAACGGUAGGUCAGUAUGCCCCGAAUAUCCCGGGCUACACGCGAGCUACAAUGGUUGGUACAAUGGGUAUCUACCCCGAAAGGGGACGGAAAUCUCCUAAAGCCAAUCUUAGUUCGGAUUGAGGGCUGCAACUCGCCCUCAUGAAGCUGGAAUCCGUAGUAAUCGCGUUUCAACAGAACGCGGUGAAUACGUCCCUGCUCCUU
Molecule: ribosomal RNA, 462 nt
Filed under: uncultured Methanosaeta sp.
Lineage: Archaea; Methanobacteriati; Methanobacteriota; Methanomicrobia; Methanotrichales; Methanotrichaceae
Description: bacterial SSU rRNA
Rfam family: Archaeal small subunit ribosomal RNA
Source: RNAcentral